Molecule: ribosomal RNA, 500 nt
Filed under: uncultured bacterium
Lineage: Bacteria
Description: partial 16S ribosomal RNA
Rfam family: Bacterial small subunit ribosomal RNA
Source: RNAcentral
AUUGAACGCUGGCGGCAGGCCUAACACAUGCAAGUCGAGCGGUUGACGGGAGCUUGCUCCCUGAUUCAGCGGCGGACGGGUGAGUAAUGCCUAGGAAUCUGCCUAUUAGUGGGGGACAACGUUUCGAAAGGAACGCUAAUACCGCAUACGUCCUACGGGAGAAAGCAGGGGACCUUCGGGCCUUGCGCUAAUAGAUGAGCCUAGGUCGGAUUAGCUUGUCGGUGAGGUAAUGGCUCACCAAGGCGACGAUCCGUAACUGGUCUGAGAGGAUGAUCAGUCACACUGGAACUGAGACACGGGCCAGACUCCUACGGGAGGCAGCAGUGGGGAAUAUUGGACAAUGGGCGAAAGCCUGAUCCAGCCAUGCCGCGUGUGUGAAGAAGGUCUUCGGAUUGUAAAGCACUUUAAGUUGGGAGGAAGGGUUGUAGAUUAAUACCUUGCUGUUUUGACGUUACCGACAGAAUAAGCACCGGCUAACUCUGUGCCAGCCGCCGCCGUAA